GUCAUACUUGUAGUCACUUUAGUUGUUUGAAGAACUGAAUUCAAGCAAUAAAAAGAAAGAAAUCUAUACCUAAAGGUACGUUACUAGAAUCUACUGAUUUUAUAUAAAAGUAAAUUAAUAUAAAAUCAUUUAAAUAUGAUAAAUAAUCGCAAAGUCAUUAUCAUUUAAUGAUAAUUGUAGAUCCAAAAUUGUACUCCAUUUUCAUGCAAAUGAGGAAUUUAGUCCAUUAAAUAAUACGGCUGGAUACAUAUAUUUUAUUGUAUUCUCCUCUCUCCAAUCAUCCAGCCAGCUGGACAUUUUACACGAUUUUUUAAGGUAUUUUUACAUGGAUGAGUGAAUUUAGCCAAUUUGUCCAGCCUGCUGUAUGUCUCUUCUUUUUCGAGCAUUUUUUUCAUGAACACUUCAGACACUGUGAGCCCUUCAGUAUCAAUUAUAAUAUAGCUGUUCCCAAUCCAUCGACAUCUGGUGAAUGCAUUCACAGAAAUGAUCUACAGAUGGCAUCUAAACUGUUUACUAGUUUACUGUUAGUCAU
This 532-nucleotide long non-coding RNA is filed under the name Androctonus crassicauda. The record is from RNAcentral. Lineage: Eukaryota; Metazoa; Arthropoda; Arachnida; Scorpiones; Buthidae.